This 301-nucleotide ribosomal RNA is filed under the name uncultured bacterium. Its description in RNAcentral is "partial 16S ribosomal RNA". It matches the Rfam family "Bacterial small subunit ribosomal RNA", at positions 509 to 810 of the family's 1533-position model. The record is from RNAcentral.
CAGCAGCCGCGGGAAUACGUAGGUCCCGAGCGUUAUCCGGAUUUAUUGGGCGUAAAGCGAGCGCAGGCGGUUAGAUAAGUCUGAAGUUAAAGGCUGUGGCUUAACCAUAGUACGCUUUGGGAACUGUUUAACUUGAGUGCAGAAGGGGAGAGUGGAAUUCCAUGUGUAGCGGUGAAAUGCGUAGAUAUAUGGAGGAACACCGGUGGCGAAAGCGGCUCUCUGGUCUGUAACUGACGCUGAGGCUCGAAAGCGUGGGGAGCAAACAGGAUUAGAUACCCCGGUAGCCCUGUCUCUUAUACAC